Zootoca vivipara (common lizard) is the source of this 1704-nucleotide long non-coding RNA. RefSeq lists it as uncharacterized. Lineage: Eukaryota; Metazoa; Chordata; Lepidosauria; Squamata; Lacertidae. The record is from RefSeq and is a predicted model, not a curated record.
AGUCCAAGCCCAGGGCAUGUGAAGGUAAUUGAGCUCCUGGCUUGUCAAGCUGCAAAAAUAGCUCACACUGAGGACCUGACAAAAGCUUACCUACUGCUCUGCAGUCCGGCACCUUCACUCGUCACCCUGGGGCUAUCAGCAAGCUCCACGGAAUUGAAGAAGUGCUGUCUGCCUUAUCUGUUAUCAGCCAGUGGAUGACCAUGAAAUUCCAGGAGAAAUAUCACCAGAGGGGGUAUGGACCACAGAAGGAAGGAUGCGUCCCCCCACUGGACGUACUACCCCCCCCUCACACCCCACAGUAGGAGAAAUGAAUGGUAAAAUGCUGAUGAAUUUUCAUGAGGACUUGACUGGGGGGGGGAGGUAUGGAAAUUGCAGACAUAUGGGAAAUUUGGUGAACUGAAUGUUACACUGGAAAACAGAAAGAGAGAGAAACCCAAAUUGACAGAUUCAUUCCUCCUUCCUAAGAAGAGGAACUGAUAUGGAUUACUGGGCCAGCAUUUUUUCAGAACCAGAUUAGAAUCCAUUGCUAUUCAGCAGUGAAUUAUUUAUUGCAUUUAUAUGCCACCUUAUCUCCAAGGAGCUCAGGGUGGUAUGGUUUGGACUAUGUACUGGUCACAAGAUUUCCAUGUUUAUUUCAAUCUUAAGAGUGUUUGAUAGGAAUAACUACAUACAAUUAGCUGAGUGCUUGAUUGCAUUUCCUCCAUCCUUUCAUUGUUACCAUUUUGCACAAUGGAAGUACAGUGGUACCUCUACUUACGAAUUUAAUGCGUUCCAAACACACAUUUGUAUGUAGAACAAAAUUGUAAGUGGAAUCCCAUAGGAAUGCAUUGGGAGAAAAAAUUCGUAAGUCGAAGCAACCCUAUCUAAAAAUUCGUAAGUAGAAAAAAUCCUAUCUAAACUGCAUCCAAGAUGGCGGACGGAGCUCCAUUCGUAAGUAGAAACAUUCGUAAGUAGAGUUAUUCGUAAGUAGAGGUACCACUGUAAUUAUAUAACCUCUUUCCUUUCCUUUUUUUGGGGGGGGGGUCUUCUUUGGUCAUUUGUGCAAACUUCAGGAGAUACUGUUCACUGACUCUCUCUGUCUUUUCCCUUCCGAGUAUUUGUUUGGGAAUAGGUGCAUCACAACAUACUGACCAGCAGUUGCAUGAAAACAGGUGACAGGGAGGAGCCCACAGCUCAGCAGCAGAGCACCUGCAUUGCACACAGAAGGUGCUACCAGGUUCGAUCCCUGGCAUCUCUAGCUAGAAGGAUCAGGGAGAAGGAGGAGGAGGAGGAGACUCUGGAGAGCCAUGGCUGGUUGGAAUAGACCGUCAUGGGCUGGAUGGACAACUACCGGUACUUUGGCAUCUAAGAAUUAACCAAAUCACAAGGGGGGGGAGGACCCCUACCCAAUCACUGUCCUGGCAAUCUUGCACCAUUGUGCACUCAGGUCCUGCUUUCAGGCUUCUCCUAAUGGGCAUCUGGUUGGCCACUGGGAGGAGAAGAUGCUGGACUAGAUGGGUCAUUGGCCUGACCCAGCUGCAGGGCUCUUGUGUCUUUCAGGAAGAGGUCUACCUGCUACCUGGUGCUUCCAGCUAGAGACGGCAGGGAUUGGAUAUUGGGCAAAGUCUGUGGUCCACCACUGAGCUAUGGACACCCCUGCCCCCCUUCCACAACUCACGGCUGCCUGGCCGACAAGGUGUUACUUAUCUUUUUCUUUUGCUGAUU